RNAcentral lists this ribosomal RNA (253 nucleotides) under uncultured bacterium. RNAcentral's name for it is "partial 16S ribosomal RNA". It matches the Rfam family "Bacterial small subunit ribosomal RNA", at positions 524 to 776 of the family's 1533-position model. The record is from RNAcentral.
UACGAGUGGUGCAAGCAUUAUUCGGAAUCAUUGGGCGUAAAGGGCGCGUAGGUGGCAUAGAAAGUUUGAUGUGAAAGCUCAGGGCUUAACCCUGAAAUGGCAUUGAAUACUGCUGUGCUGGAGGUUUGGAGGGGGGACUGGAAUUCUUGGUGUAGCAGUGAAAUGCGUAGAUAUCAAGAGGAACACCAGUGGCGAAGGCGAGUCCCUGGACCACACCUGACACUGAGGCACGAAAGCCGGGGGAGCAAACAGG